RNAcentral lists this ribosomal RNA (253 nucleotides) under bacterium. Its description in RNAcentral is "partial 16S ribosomal RNA". It matches the Rfam family "Bacterial small subunit ribosomal RNA", at positions 524 to 776 of the family's 1533-position model. RNAcentral also lists the same sequence under 1 other name. The record is from RNAcentral.
UACGUAGGGGGCAAGCGUUGUCCGGAAUCAUUGGGCGUAAAGAGCGUGUAGGCGGCCCGAUAAGUCCGUCGUGAAAGUCCAGGGCUCAACCCUGGGAUGCCGGUGGAAACUGUCGGGCUAGAGUCCGGAAGAGGCGAGUGGAAUUCCUGGUGUAGCGGUGAAAUGCGCAGAUAUCAGGAGGAACACCAAUGGCGAAGGCAGCUCGCUGGGACGGUACUGACGCUGAGACGCGAAAGCGUGGGGAGCAAACAGG